This 476-nucleotide ribosomal RNA is filed under the name uncultured Fusobacterium sp. RNAcentral's name for it is "bacterial SSU rRNA". It matches the Rfam family "Bacterial small subunit ribosomal RNA", at positions 28 to 525 of the family's 1533-position model. The record is from RNAcentral. Lineage: Bacteria; Fusobacteriati; Fusobacteriota; Fusobacteriia; Fusobacteriales; Fusobacteriaceae.
GAUGAACGCUGACAGAAUGCUUAACACAUGCAAGUCGACUCGAGUCUUCGGACUUGGGUGGCGGACGGUGAGUAACGCGUAAAGAACUUGCCUCAUAGUCUGGGGACAACAUCUGGAAACGGAUGCUAAUACCGGAUGUUAUGCUUUCUUCGCAUGGAGGAAGUAUGAAAGCUAUAUGCGCUAUGAGAGAGCUUUGCGGUCCCAUUAGCUAGUUGGUGAGGUAACGGCCCACCAAGGCGAUGAUGGGUAGCCGGCCUGAGAGGGUGAACGGCCACAAGGGGACUGAGACACGGCCCUUACUCCUACGGGAGGCAGCAGUGGGGAAUAUUGGACAAUGGACCAAAAGUCUGAUCCAGCAAUUCUGUGUGCACGAUGACGUUUUCGGAAUGUAAAGUGCUUUCAGUCGGGGAAGAAGCAAGUGACGGUACCGACAGAAGAAGCGACGGGCUAAAUACGUGCCAGCAGCCGCGGUAAAU